Molecule: long non-coding RNA, 297 nt
Filed under: Jatropha curcas
Lineage: Eukaryota; Viridiplantae; Streptophyta; Magnoliopsida; Malpighiales; Euphorbiaceae
Description: long non-coding RNA (JCUR_LNC002521)
Source: RNAcentral
AUGAGCAGACCACAGGAGCCACACCGCCCCUUCUUUUCAUUUGGGAAUCCUUUCCGGAUGAUAUCACCGAAGGGCUCUCAGUUGUCCCCAAGACUUCUUUCUUUAUUGAAUGCUUUUGAGGAAACCUUGGCUGAGAGAUUGAGGAAACUUAAUCCAAAAGACAAGAAUGAUGUUCUCAGCUUAACAUGGAUGAAAUUGGCAAUGGAGACACUUUGUGAGACUCAUGCUGACAUAAAAACCCUAAUCACAAAUCUUGAGCUCCCAGUAACUGACUGGGAUGAAAAGUGGAUAGAUCUG